AAGACACCACAUUGGAGUUUUUGGGCAGUUUCAAGGCCACCUUAUGGCCUACCGACAGGGAAGACAAAGGCAAAAUUGAAUUUCGCCUCCUGGGUGUCGACUGGGUAAUGAAAAUAGAUGAGUUCAACGCCAUCUUCAGCUUUGACAGUGCCGGCCACUAAGAGAUCCCUAGGAACUGCAUGCUCUACAAUAGCAUCAACUUCUGGAGUU
This 210-nucleotide unclassified non-coding RNA is filed under the name Hevea brasiliensis (rubber tree). Lineage: Eukaryota; Viridiplantae; Streptophyta; Magnoliopsida; Malpighiales; Euphorbiaceae. The record is from RNAcentral.